AACCGGAUUAGAUACCCUGGUAGUCCACGCCCUAAACGAUGUCUACUAGUUGUCGGGACUUAAUUGUCUUGGUAACGCAGCUAACGCGUGAAGUAGACCGCCUGGGGAGUACGGUCGCAAGAUUAAAACUCAAAGGAAUUGACGGGGACCCGCACAAGCGGUGGAUGAUGUGGAUUAAUUCGAUGCAACGCGAAAAACCUUACCUACCCUUGACAUGGCAGGAAUCCCGAAGAGAUUUGGGAGUGCUCGCAAGAGAACCUGCACACAGGUGCUGCAUGGCUGUCGUCAGCUCGUGUCGUGAGAUGUUGGGUUAAGUCCCGCAACGAGCGCAACCCUUGUCAUUAGUUGCUACGAAAGGGCACUCUAAUGAGACUGCCGGUGACAAACCGGAGGAAGGUGGGGAUGACGUCAAGUCCUCAUGGCCCUUAUGGGUAGGGCUUCACACGUCAUACAAUGGUACAUACAGAGGGCCGCCAACCCGCGAGGGGGAGCUAAUCCCAGAAAGUGUAUCGUAGUCCGGAUUGUAGUCUGCAACUCGACUACGUGAAGUUGGAAUCGCUAGUAAUCGCGGAUCAGCAUGUCGCGGUGAAUACGUUCCCGGGUCUUGUACACACCGCCCGUCACACCAUGGGAGCGGGUUCUGCCAGAAGUAGGUAGCUUAACCGCAAGGAGGGCGCUUACCACGGCAGGGUUCGUGACUGGGGUGAAGUCGUAACAAGGUAGCCGUA
RNAcentral lists this ribosomal RNA (728 nucleotides) under uncultured endophytic bacterium. RNAcentral's name for it is "bacterial SSU rRNA". It matches the Rfam family "Bacterial small subunit ribosomal RNA", at positions 771 to 1504 of the family's 1533-position model. The record is from RNAcentral.